RNAcentral lists this small RNA (2376 nucleotides) under Pongo abelii (Sumatran orangutan). Its description in RNAcentral is "retained intron". Lineage: Eukaryota; Metazoa; Chordata; Mammalia; Primates; Hominidae. The record is from RNAcentral.
GUUGCAGGCGACGAUGCAGAGGGCUGUAAGUGUGGUGGCCCAUCUGGGCUCUCGCCUGCAGGCAUUCUCCCCGGCCUUGUGUCGUCCAUUUAGUUGCGCACAGGACACCGCUGUAUGACUUCCACCUGGCCCACGGCGGGAAAAUGGUGGCGUUUGCGGGUUGGAGUCUGCCAGUGCAGUACCGGGACAGUCACACUGACUCGCACCUGCACACACGCCAGCACUGCUCGCUCUUUGACGUGUCUCAUAUGCUGCAGACCAAGAUACUUGGUAGUGACCGGGUGAAGCUGAUGGAGAGUCUAGUGGUUGGAGACAUUGCAGAGCUAAGACCAAACCAGGGGACACUGUCGCUGUUUACCAACGAGGCUGGAGGCAUCUUAGAUGACUUGAUUGUAACCAGUACUUCUGAGGGCCACCUGUAUGUGGUGUCCAACGCUGGCUGCUGGGAGAAAGAUUUGGCCCUCAUGCAGGUAUACCCCCUCUGUGUUCUAGGCACCUUGUCUUCCUUGUUCAUAGAGCAGCAUCCUUGUUAUCCAAGACAGGGUUGGCACAGACAAAGGACCUGGAAAAUGGCUCUUUCAGUGAAUGAACAGCUAUGAGACUCAAGAGCAGGCCCUCUCUGGAGCAUGCCAGGGUUUGGUGGUGGGGGAUUACCAGGCAUGGGGAGGGGGUCUUGGCCCCUCUGGUGUGAGGUGGCAGACCUGGGCUUGGGUCAUCUCUAUCACUUAGUAGCUAUGUGACCUUGUAAGAUGGGAACCAGCCUACUACCUUUUUUUCCUCCCUCCUCCUCCUCCUCUCCACUGUCUUACUACUGUCCAGCUCUGCAGCGUCCAGCCCAUGGUAGCUGCUCAGUAAGUGGCCCCAGAUGCUCUUGUGUUUCUGUCUUUUAGGACAAGGUCAGGGAGCUUCAGAACCAGGGCAGAGAUGUGGGCCUGGAGGUGUUGGAUAAUGCCCUGCUAGCUCUGCAAGGCCCCACUGCAGCCCAGGUACUACAGGCCGGCGUGGCAGAUGACCUGAGGAAACUGCCCUUCAUGACCAGUGCUGUGAUGGAGGUGUUUGGCGUGUCUGGCUGCCGUGUGACCCGCUGUGGCUACACAGGAGAGGAUGGUGUGGAGAUCUCGGUGCCGGUAGCGGGGGCAGUUCACCUGGCAACAGCUCUUCUGAAAAACCCAGAGGUGAAGCUGGCAGGGCUGGCAGCCAGGGACAGCCUGCGCCUGGAGGCAGGCCUCUGCCUGUACGGGAAUGACAUUGAUGAACACACUACACCUGUGGAGGGCAGCCUCAGUUGGACACUGGGGAAGCGCCGCCGAGCUGCUAUGGACUUCCCUGGAGCCAAAGUCAUUGUUCCCCAGCUGAAGGGCAAGGUGCAGCGGAGGCGUGUGGGGUUGAUGUGUGAGGGGGCCCCCAUGCGGGCACACAGUCCCAUCCUGAACAUGGAGGGUACCAAGAUUGGUACUGUGACUAGUGGCUGCCCCUCGCCCUCUCUGAAGAAGAAUGUGGCGAUGGGUUAUGUGCCCUGCGAGUACAGUCGUCCAGGGACAAUGCUGCUGGUAGAGGUGCGGCGGAAGCAGCAGAUGGCUGUAGUCAGCAAGAUGCCCUUUGUGCCCACAAACUACUAUACCCUCAAGUGAAGCUGGCUCAGGGUGGGGCUGUCCCUUCCAGAAGUUUUGCCCCUACAAGGGGUUAGUCAAGAAGCUGAGGCAGAACUCACUGGGGGUGGGCAGUUAAGGUGGAGGCUGAUUCUAAUUGUCUGGCUGAGGGGCCACACCACCUAUUCCCCCCACCUAACUCAUGCCACUCCAGCUUCCUUCAGGACCCUGCUUCUGAGUGACGGACCAGCUCACACAAUGUCUUGUUUCAGUCCAUGAUCCCACUGACCUACUCUUGCCUGCUGGAGGGUAAUGAGAAGCUUUGGUUCUGCCAUCUCUCCCACUCUGCCAGGUGCUGGCUGUGGAGCAAAGGCUCACCUUUGUGGGGAGGAUAAAACCUGCCCAACCUACCUCACCAUGGUUUUUCACAUUGCAAACGGUAAUAACAUGGGCAGUGUGGACUUAGGCUACCCCCUCCAGUUUGCUUUCCGUAAAUGCAAAUUGUCCCUACUGCAAGUCAGGAAUGAUUGCCGACUCACAGUAGGGCUGCUAUGCCUGUGUGUAAACUUGGGGAUGGCUGAGGGAACACAGACUCACUCUUCCGCAUUCCCAAGUUGGUCUAGUGUGCUGCCCAGUAGCAAACCAUGGCAGGCUCACCACCUAUUCUGAGCUCCAGGGCUGUUGUAGGGCAGGGUGGGCUUCCUCCCAGACUUGCCUUACCCUGGGCUGAUCUUUGCCCCUGGUAUGCAUUAAUGGACUCCACUGAAUCCUGAAAAAAAAUUAAACU